This 327-nucleotide ribosomal RNA is filed under the name Triticum aestivum (bread wheat). RNAcentral describes it as "partial small subunit ribosomal RNA". The record is from RNAcentral. Lineage: Eukaryota; Viridiplantae; Streptophyta; Magnoliopsida; Poales; Poaceae.
AUGAAGCCAUUUACCCUAGAAAAAACCGAGAUAAGACUUUCGGGACGAAGCGCCGCCGUCUCGAGGCGGGACCUGGGGAGGAGCACUUUUGCUCUCUGGUGGAGCGACUCCGCCGGGGAUACUUCCCUCUGGGAGGGGGAAAUCCAAGCCAUCGCCAUCACCAACAAUCUUCUCAUCAUGGGAGGACUCAUCUCCAUCAAUAUCUUCACUGGCACCAUCUCAUCUCAAACCCUACUUCAUCUCUUGUAUUCAAUCUUUAUCUCAAAACCUCAUAUUGGUACUUGUGGGUUGCUAAUAGUGUUGAUUACAUCUUGUAGUCGAUGCUAG